Molecule: unclassified non-coding RNA, 382 nt
Filed under: uncultured Elusimicrobia bacterium
Lineage: Bacteria; Pseudomonadati; Elusimicrobiota; Elusimicrobia
Description: contains 16S-23S intergenic spacer region
Source: RNAcentral
UCCUUCUUAUCGAAGGCAGUUCUUCAAGAGUGCCUCCCUUACGGGAGUAGCAACAUGAAGUAAGGGUUGCGCUCGUUGCGGGACUUAACCCAACAUCUCACGACACGAGCUGACGACAACCAUGCAGCACCUCUACGGACUCCCUUGCGGGUCGCUCGCUGUUUCCAGCAAGCUACCAUCCGUAGUUCAAGCCCAGGUAAGGUUCUUCGCGUUGCGUCGAAUUAAACCACAUGCUCCACCGCUUGUGCGGGCCCCCGUCAAUUCCUUUGAGUUUCAACCUUGCGGCCGUACUCCCCAGGCGGCUCAUUUAAUACGUUAGUUUCGACGCGGAAGGGGUCGAUACCCCCCACAUCUAAUGAGCAUCGUUUAGGGCUAGGACUAC